RNAcentral lists this ribosomal RNA (147 nucleotides) under uncultured bacterium. RNAcentral describes it as "partial 16S ribosomal RNA". It matches the Rfam family "Bacterial small subunit ribosomal RNA", at positions 369 to 509 of the family's 1533-position model. The record is from RNAcentral.
CAAUGGCGCAAGCCUGAACGAGCGAUGCCGCGUGAGUGAAGAAGGCCUUCGGGUCGUAAAGCUCUGUUGCGGGGGAAAAAAGGCAGCAUCAGGAAAUGGGUGCUGACUGAUGGUGCCCCGCCAGAAAGUCACGGCUAACUACGUGCC